AGCAUGUGGUUUAAUUCGAAGCAACGCGAAGAACCUUACCAGGCCUUGACAUGCAGAGAACUUUCCAGAGAUGGAUUGGUGCCUUCGGGAACUCUGACACAGGUGCUGCAUGGCUGCCGUCAGCUCGUGUCGUGAGAUGUUGGGUUAAGUCCCGUAACGAGCGCAACCCUUGUCCUUAGUUACCAGCACGUUAUGGUGGGCACUCUAAGGAGACUGCCGGUGACAAACCGGAGGAAGGUGGGGAUGACGUCAAGUCAUCAUGGCCCUUACGGCCUGGGCUACACACGUGCUACAAUGGUCGGUACAAAGGGUUGCCAAGCCGCGAGGUGGAGCUAAUCCCAUAAAACCGAUCGUGGUCCGGAUCGCAGUCUGCAACUCGACUGCGUGAAGUCGGAAUCGCUAGUAAUCGUGAAUCAGAAUGUCAUGGUGAAUACGUUCCCGGGCCUU
Molecule: ribosomal RNA, 447 nt
Filed under: uncultured Pseudomonas sp.
Lineage: Bacteria; Pseudomonadati; Pseudomonadota; Gammaproteobacteria; Pseudomonadales; Pseudomonadaceae
Description: bacterial SSU rRNA
Rfam family: Bacterial small subunit ribosomal RNA
Source: RNAcentral